Vicugna pacos (alpaca) is the source of this 81-nucleotide non-coding RNA. NCBI's taxonomy places the organism in Eukaryota, Metazoa, Chordata, Mammalia, Artiodactyla, Camelidae. The record is from RefSeq and is a predicted model, not a curated record.
AUUUGGAAAUGGUCUAUUUAAAGAAGUAAUUAAAGUUAAAUGAGGUCAUAAGGGUAGAACCCUAAUCCAACAGGAUUUGUG